RNAcentral lists this unclassified non-coding RNA (3556 nucleotides) under Leishmania donovani. RNAcentral describes it as "gene:LdHU3.34.5170(CDS-product:DNA_repair_metallo -beta-lactamase_putative)". The record is from RNAcentral. Lineage: Eukaryota; Euglenozoa; Kinetoplastea; Trypanosomatida; Trypanosomatidae.
CCCUUCACGCCUAAAGCUUCGAGUUUGAAAAGAAAGACUGGCUGUCGAGCCAAUGGCACACUUCUGCUAUCCUUUUCAUGGAGUACGCUGACACUCCUCUCUUCAGCGGAAGGUCUUGGCGCAGUGCGCUCUUGUCUGUGCUUGUCGUCUUCGUCACUGCCGUGUAGCUGUGCAACAUCUUUGGUGCGAGGAAAAACCUAUCAGCUGCCUGUAUUCGGCGUUCAUAGAGACAGGUGCAGAUUUAGGACGGGGUCUGCCAUUCAUCUGUGCGGAGAACGUCAUCUAUUUCACACACACACACACACGCAUCAUCCCCCUUGCAACGCGCAUCCUGUCUUUGGGGUGGUUUGUUUUCGCUCUUUUUUCCCCCGAGUCCAACGAUCACGCUGGCGAACAUCGACACAGGCGCCGUUGCAGUACGGCGCUGGCCCAAAGGCAGACGCCUACCGAUUUCUUGUCCAGCCCGUCAAACGUGAGCAGUCCUAUGCAACCCUCGACGCGUGAGGCAGGUGCUGCAGCGUCCAGCGUCGGCAGAAAUGGCACGAUGCGAGAGUACUUCAAGUCGAGAGAGGUGUAUCGGGGCUCGCAAGGCAUCAUUCUGGUUGAUGCCUUCCGUUUCGUGUAUCAUGGGGCACCGCUCACCAACUGGGCGUGUCGAGCACAGCGCCCCUCGCCCCCCUCCGCUAACGGAGCGGCACCGUCAGGGACGCCGUACUCUGCCACUUCGCCGGUGUCCAAUCAAGGUCUUGGACUGGCGUCCACGUCGAGAGCGGCCCGGGCGCACACCUUCUACUUUCUGAGUCACUUCCACUCCGACCAUUACGCGGGCAUCACCAAUCGCUGGCACAGCGGCACCAUCUACUGCAGUCGCCCAACGGCCACACUUACCCAGUCGCAACUCGGGGUGCCUGCGUCGUGGUUGUUUCCCAUGGACCUGGGUCAGACAUACAUCUUCUCCUUGUCUACCGGCGUGUGUCUCGCGCGUGUGCCCGAAACGCCGCACCACCCACACGUGCAGGCCCUGCUGAGUCCACCGGCAGCAUCCUCGAAAGGGCAGGCACAAGAAAAGACUGUCGACGGUAUGUUUGUGGUGCGCCUGAUUCCGGCGAACCACUGCCCAGGUGCGGUGAUGUUUCUCUUCGUGUCACCAGUUUUUGGGACCGUGCUACACACGGGCGACUUUCGCUUCAACGGCUCGCGGGAGACCUGGGAGCAGUUCGUGCGGUCCUCCAACGGGAGGCAGACGUACGUGCCGCCGUUGCCGUGCCUGAUAAAACGAGGAGAGCAGCAGCAUGCAUCGACAGCGGCGCCGCCCGCUCCGGCUUAUGAGCAGUUCAUCGCGGAUGACGAGGCGCUGCGGGACGUGGCGCAGCGGCAGCUCCUCGAUGUCCUUCUCCUAGACAACACCUUCUGUGCGCCAGCGUACAAGUUUCCCUCUCAAUGGGAGGUGACGCAGAGGGUGAUCGAGGUACUUCGGUCCCUCUUCCACCGCGCCGCAUGCCGCGCAGGAGUCGCGGUGCAUUCGGCCGGGCAUCCGCAGCAUCGACAAGUGCGUUGCGCUGUCUUGAUUGGGUGCUACACAAUCGGGAAGGAGCGUGUCGCAUUGGCGCUGAGGGACGCCUUCCCUCUUGUAAGGUCAUCUGAGCAGAGCCGCGCAAGAGACUCCCUAAAAGGGUCUCAGCAUCACGCCAACGCCGCAGAGCCUGCAUCGUGGCGGAUUCAUGUCUCGCCAAGUCGGUACGCCCUGCUGUCCUCAAUAGGGUUCUUCGAAGAGUGCUUUGAGCCGCUGAAGGCAUCCCGCUCGAGCGAGAACGCCGUGACCGCGCGCGACGCGGGCAAAGAUGCCUCGACAAGGCCACCGACAGAGACGGCUCACGUCGAAGACGUGCCAGUUCUGCUGCCGGUGCUGCUUGGUGAGUGCAAUGCACAGGGCGCGCAACGCAAGAGGGUCGCCAGCGGCCUAGCCUGUAAGCCGGAGGAGACCCGUGCCAGCGCCGCUCCCGCCGUGCGACCGUCAUUGGCGGUCGGCCUCGACAUGGCGGACGGCGCAGGAAACCAGUCCGCUGCCGAGGGACGCACGGAGGAGGUGGAGCACCUUCUCAGUGUCUUUCUGGUUCCCAUGGCCAGCGUAGGCUACCAAGCAGUGGCUGCGCUGGCGCACGCCGACAGCCCGGCGGUGGUGGACAUCGAAGACGGGCUGGCGCUUAACCUGGACCGCUACGAUCAGGUGCUCAUCGUGGAGCCGACGGGGUGGUGCAAGCGCUGCGUGGCGCGAGAGGUGUCGGAGAAACACACUCUUCUCCGUGUGCCAUACAGCGAGCACUGCGCCUUUCACGAGCUCCUCGAGUUUGUCGAGUUCGUGAACCCGGCGCGCGUGGUUCCGACCGUGUCAGAGGAGGGCUUCAAGCAGUACGAGGCACUCUUUGUGGCGAAAGCGCCACGCCUCCGCAGUCGCGUGUCGAAUGUUCAGCCCAUCACACGGUUCUUCUCGGUGCUACCGGUGCAUCACGCGGAGGCGCCGACUGGCGAAAGGAGGGACGAUACGGCAGCCACUGUGGCCUCCUCAGCUGCGCGUACGGUGCUUGAUGGAUCCUCAGUGUCCUUGGCAGGAGCGAUCCCAGUUGAAGAUCCUUCUGUGGAUGAUGCCCAAACGGCGUCAACCGCCUCAGCAGUGGUGCGGAAAAGAGCGCGUGCGCAACGGCACGCCGUGACGGUUGCUGCGCCGACAUCGACAGCAACGGCGGUUGCCGCCACGCCGAGCAUCACGUGCACUCUCGAGCGCCUUUUUCAGAAGGUCAAGCGAGACGCAGCGCACAGAUCGCCAGAGAGACAGCCUCUGGAAGAGGUGGUGGCGGGCGAUGAUGAUGACUGCCAAGUGGUGGGCGUGGUGCAGGCGGUGGUGGAAAUCAGCGAUGACGACUGACGAAGUGGCCAUGCGGCACCGUUACCGCUUGCCCGACGUCGCGUUGCUGAGAAAGAUUGCCCCUUGAUCUUCCAUUGCCCUGUCGUACUCCCUCCUCCCCCCCCCCCUCUGCUGAACCACUGCCUGCUCAUCUGUAGUCGGUGUAUCUGCGCCAGCACCCACAUACACACACCAUCGCCUCAUCGCCUCACAGGUGCGCAGUGUAGCCUUAGCGGAACAAGAACACAAGCGCGCGGGCGCUCCUCUUAUUCCUUGCACGUGUGUCAGUGUGCGUGCAACUGGCAACAGCUCUUUCUCUCUAUUAAGCUGUCCACACGUCCCUAGACCAACACGGAAAAGGUGUAGCUGCUAUUUUCACGGAUUCGUAUGGCGAAGUCCGUCGCGUAUUUAAUAGCUCCCGACGCUUGCGCACAACCCCCCAUCCCUGGUCUGAGCUUCUCUUCCUGCUCGGUGCUUUCCCUCACUCCCCGCAUCGUCGAUGUGACACACGCACCCUCCAUCCUACAUGCACGUGCGCAACAACCAAGCCCACGCCGCCUUCGUCGCAUCACCUCCGUUCUCCCCUCCCCGCUGUGUACUCGAGUUCUUUUUUUAUGCCUUGUACAUCUCUAAUCGGCGAGUCUCGCUACACAG